AUUAUUUCAGGCUAUUUGUUAGGUUUGAAAACUCACUUAAUGUACCAAUAAAUCAAACAGUGAAAGAAGCUGGUAUUGAAAGUAGGUGUGUGGAUUUUGGUACUAAGUAGGUGUUUCAUGUGAGGGAAUGGUGAGUGUUACUACAGACUGAAUAAAAUCAUCUGAAUCCUGCAAUCUCCAAAGCAGUAUGACAUUUGGUCUAACUUUGCUAUCAUUGCUCUUGCGAAUAUUCAGUAAAACAGCUUUGUGUGUGUAUCUUCUGUACAAUGUACCAACAUAAUAUACGUGUAAUAUUUGGUAGCUUUUAAUGCAUUUAAUGGCAAUAUAUAAGGGUAUGAACAUUUACAUAAGUAGAAUAAUCAGAAGCUUUCAGAAAACAUCAAAUAUAGCUUAAUACUAAUAUUUAGGUUAUUUUCUACUUAAUAUAUAUUUAUAUACAUAACAGAGCUGCUGCAGAAGAAAAAUGAUGUAGGAGACCAAAGAAAGACAAGCUUGCUUAGGAAAGUCAAGAGAAAAGUAAAUCUCAAACCUCAGCUUCCAUGAUUAUCAUACAAUCAUAGAAUGGCCUGGGUUGAAAAGGACCACAAUGAUCAUCAAGUUUCAACCCCCUUGCUAUAUGCAGGGUCACCAACCACCAGACCAGGCUGCCCAGAGCCACAUCCAGCCUGGCCUUGAAUGCAUCCAGGAAUGGGGCAUCCACAACCUCCUUGGGCAACCUGUUCCAGUGUGUCACCACCCUGUGUAUGAAAAACUUCCUCCUAAUAUCUAACCUAAACUUUCCCAUCUCAGUUUAAGACCAUUCCCCCUUAUCCUAUCAUUAUCCACCCUCGUAAACAGCCAUUCCCCCUCCUGUUUAUAUGCUCCCUUCAAGUACUAGAAGGCCACAGUGAGGUCUCCCUGGAGCCUUCUCUUCUCCAAGCUAAACAAUCCCAGUUCCCUCAACCUUUCCUCAUAGGAGAGGUGCUCCAGCCCUCUGAUCAUCUCUGUAGCCCUCCUCUGGACUCUCGCCAAAAGCUCCACCUCUUUCCUAUGCUGGGGACCCCUGACCUGGAUGCAGUACUCCAGACAAGGCCUCGUGAUGGCAGACUAGAGGGGAACAUUCAUCUCCCUUGCCAUGCUGGCCACCCCUCCUCUUAUGCAGCUCGUGAUGCCACUGGCCUCCUGGGUUGCAAGCACACACUGCUGACUUAAGUUUUUCCAUCUACCAGCACCCCUAAAUCCUUUUCGACAGGGCUACUCUAAAGGAGUUCUCCCAGUUUGUAUACAUAUCUGGGACUACCCCCAACCAAAGUGCAAAACCUUGUACUUUGCUUUGUUGAACCUCAUUAGGAUCACAUGGGCCCACCUUUCAAGUUUUUCAACAUCCAUCUGGAUGGCAUCCCCUCCUCCUGCCGUAUCAGCCACACCACUCAUCUUAGUGUCAG
This is a long non-coding RNA of Gallus gallus (chicken), 1424 nucleotides long. NCBI's taxonomy places the organism in Eukaryota, Metazoa, Chordata, Aves, Galliformes, Phasianidae. The record is from Ensembl.